UUUCACGAGGUGUUUUUCAGA
Caenorhabditis elegans is the source of this 21-nucleotide non-coding RNA. NCBI's taxonomy places the organism in Eukaryota, Metazoa, Nematoda, Chromadorea, Rhabditida, Rhabditidae. The record is from Ensembl.